RNAcentral lists this ribosomal RNA (517 nucleotides) under uncultured bacterium. Its description in RNAcentral is "partial 16S ribosomal RNA". It matches the Rfam family "Bacterial small subunit ribosomal RNA", at positions 355 to 888 of the family's 1533-position model. The record is from RNAcentral.
UGGGGAAUAUUGCACAAUGGGCGAAAGCCUGAUGCAGCAACGCCGCGUGAGUGAUGAAGGUCUUCGGAUUGUAAAGCUCUGUCUUUUGGGACGAUAAUGACGGUACCAAAGGAGGAAGCCACGGCUAACUACGUGCCAGCAGCCGCGGUAAUACGUAGGUGGCGAGCGUUGUCCGGAUUUACUGGGCGUAAAGGGUGCGUAGGCGGAUGUUUAAGUGAGAUGUGAAAUACCCGGGCUUAACUUGGGUGCUGCAUUUCAAACUGGAUAUCUAGAGUGCAGGAGAGGAGAAUGGAAUUCCUAGUGUAGCGGUGAAAUGCGUAGAGAUUAGGAAGAACACCAGUGGCGAAGGCGAUUCUCUGGACUGUAACUGACGCUGAGGCACGAAAGCGUGGGUAGCAAACAGGAUUAGAUACCCUGGUAGUCCACGCCGUAAACGAUGAGUACUAGGUGUAGGAGGUAUCGACCCCUUCUGUGCCGCAGUAAACACAUUAAGUACUCCACCUGGGAAGUACGAUCG